Long non-coding RNA from Nerophis ophidion (straightnose pipefish), 1221 nucleotides. RefSeq lists it as uncharacterized. The transcript is spliced from 6 exons. The record is from RefSeq and is a predicted model, not a curated record. Lineage: Eukaryota; Metazoa; Chordata; Actinopteri; Syngnathiformes; Syngnathidae.
CACUCAUUCAAAAAAUCCAAAUUAAUCGCAAAAAUCUCACUUUUAACAACAACUGGACAACAAAGUAUGAAUGUUCUGCCCCGAGCAAGUGGUCGAGUCAUUGUUUCCUGGCGGACCUUUUAAGCGACGGACACGUUGAAACAGACAAGCAGGGACAAGGGCAGAAAUUCCAGCGUGGAAGCUUCAUCGUGGAACUUGGUCAAACUUUUCGUUUGUGGUUUGCAUGAGAGGACCAUUUUCCUCGGAAAUGUAUAACUCUGAUAAGAGAAACCUCCACUGCAGAUGACAUUGGUUUUGAGUUUCUCGAGCCAGAUUCUGGGUCUACACUCUGACAAUACGGGGGCGAAGUUUGUUCUCCCGGGAUGCAGACGGACUAAUUGCGGACAGGACUUGAAGGCGCUCCAAGCCAAAAAAGAAGAACGUCACUCUUCCUGCAGGCAUCCUCACACACAACAGAUCAUAAGUCAGCGCCCGAGGCAGUGCAGGAGUGUCAUAUCCAGAUGUUCCCCAUCUCGACUUGUCACAUCUGUCAGCUUGCUGGAGCAGCGCAAUAAACAACGCUGUGGGAUGAAAAAUGACCCGCAGAUUGUUCUUCCACCACAAAGGAGAGGAACACAAGUGACUGCGCGCGGCACGUUUCUGGGUCAGCGCCAGUUCUGAGACGCUCGAAAGAGAGAAAGACUUCCCCCUCGGCCUCCAGAGCCUUAACAGCAGCCACACUUUAUGAGCAUGUAUGGCGGGCACGUUGGAGCGAGAGAAAGCAGCAGAAAAAGAAAUGACCUGACAAAAGUAAGGGUGGCGUGUGGGUGGCGUGAAUAUAAAUGAAAUGGAUUGCGCAUCAUGGUCGCCGCCGAAGAAAAACAGCCAACAGCUGAGGUCAUCCAUCAGCACGAGUGUUCGGGCCCCAAACCUGCUGAGGCAGCGAAGGGAGAGGGAGGUGAAAGAUCAAUCAUGGCAGAGGAGGAAGUGAGCGAGGGCGAAGAUUCAUAUGCUUGACAGAAUAGCCAGUUUGUGGGAAAUUAUUGAAAAAAAAUGCCGCCCUCAUCGUGUUUUAUGGACUCUUCUCACAACAUCUCAGUAGGAUUUUAGAAGUGCUCAAUUUAUGAUUUACUUUGGGGCAUAUUUCAAGCUUUGUUAGUUCGUAUAAAACUAUAAAUGCAUAGUGAUGUCAGUGAUGUCAUCCUAAUUUAACCACAUGUAAUCUAACGUGUGAUUAGUGUU